Molecule: long non-coding RNA, 587 nt
Filed under: Pavo cristatus (Indian peafowl)
Lineage: Eukaryota; Metazoa; Chordata; Aves; Galliformes; Phasianidae
Description: lncRNA (ENSPSTG00000009172.1)
Source: RNAcentral
AGGAAAUGGAGGAGGGUUGGAUCAGCCCUUGGGAUGCAGAGCAUCACCUGAGUGCUUGUGCAGCCCGUGCACGUCGUGCCUCGCCACCCGCCGCUGGCGCUCCAUCAGAUAGCGAGGAUUUCCUCCCUGGGUUAUCAAUAACACUGAAUAGCUGCUGAAGAGUUCCCCUCACGUUGCCUCAGGAACACGCCAGGCUCGUUCGGUGCCAGGAACAUCACAGGGCUGCUCCCAAGGACCACGUGGCAAAAGAAUGAUCCAAGCAGUGCUGCAAUCCAACCAACCAACCCAGCCGGGCUAACACCUCCCUCCCAUCAAAGAUGCUGCAAUCAGAGCUGUCCCAUUCCUGCGUCUGCUGCUUGCAUGGUGCUGUACCUCUGGCUCUGGGUGGGCAAGGUCUUCCACCAGCGUUUCCUCAGGAGAGAAAGGGAGAUCCUUCUGCACACGAUAAUACAAUCUACUUCUUCUUUCUUCACCUUUCCCUCAUCCAACCAAUUUCUCCUCUCCCUUCUGCCUGGGAAUUGCACACAAGAUUUUUAGCCAGGACAGCCAACUCUAGAGCAUCUGAAACGGCCAUCAGUGAAAUCUCC